Molecule: ribosomal RNA, 408 nt
Filed under: Cryptocercus sp. YONG2
Lineage: Eukaryota; Metazoa; Arthropoda; Insecta; Blattodea; Cryptocercidae
Description: partial mitochondrial 16S rRNA gene
Source: RNAcentral
UUACGCUGUUAUCCCUAAGGUAAUUUAGUCUUAUAAUCAACAAAAAUGGAUCAAAUAUAUAUAAAUAAAUAUAAAAAAAUAAAAAGAGUUAAUUAAAUCUUUCCAUCACCCCAACAAAAUAAAUUUUCAAAUUAAAAAAAUAUCAUACAAAAAAAAUAAAAAUAUAUAUAAACUCUAUAGGGUCUUCUCGUCCCAAAAAAAUAUUUAGGCAUUUUAACCUAAAAUUUAAAUUCAAUAAAUAAAUUAAAGACAGUUUACACCUCGUCAAACCAUUCAUUCCAGCCUACAAUUAAAAGACUAAUGAUUAUGCUACCUUUGCACGGUCAAAAUACCGCGGCCCUUCAAUACUCAGUGGGCAGGCCAUACAUCAAAAUAUAUUCAAGAAGAGAUGUUUUUGAUAAACAGGCG